RNAcentral lists this ribosomal RNA (409 nucleotides) under Actinomycetes bacterium. Its description in RNAcentral is "Actinobacteria bacterium partial 16S ribosomal RNA". It matches the Rfam family "Bacterial small subunit ribosomal RNA", at positions 355 to 776 of the family's 1533-position model. Lineage: Bacteria; Bacillati; Actinomycetota; Actinomycetes. The record is from RNAcentral.
UGGGGAAUAUUGCACAAUGGGCGCAAGCCUGAUGCAGCGACGCCGCGUGAGGGAUGACGGCCUUCGGGUUGUAAACCUCUUUCAGCUCCGACGAAGCGCAAGUGACGGUAGGAGCAGAAGAAGCACCGGCCAACUACGUGCCAGCAGCCGCGGUAAUACGUAGGGUGCAAGCGUUGUCCGGAAUUACUGGGCGUAAAGAGCUCGUAGGCGGUUUGUCGCGUCGUCUGUGAAAUUCUGCAGCUUAACUGCAGGCGUGCAGGCGAUACGGGCAGACUUGGGUACUGUAGGGGAGACUGGAAUUCCUGGUGUAGCGGUGAAAUGCGCAGAUAUCAGGAGGAACACCGGUGGCGAAGGCGGGUCUCUGGGUAGUAACUGACGCUGAGGAGCGAAAGCGUGGGUAGCGAACAGG